AGGAUGAACGCUAGCGACAGGCUUAACACAUGCAAGUCGAGGGGCAGCGGGGAGUGAGGCUUGCCUUACUCUGCCGGCGACCGGCGCACGGGUGAGUAACACGUAUGCAACCUACCCUUUACAGCGGGAUAACCGGAAGAAAUUUCGCCUAAUACCGCAUAUACUCCUUGGGAGGCAUCUUCCGAGGGGGAAAGAAUUUCGGUGAAGGAUGGGCAUGCGUCGCAUUAGUUAGUUGGCGGUGUAACGGACCACCAAGACGACGAUGCGUAGGGGUUCUGAGAGGAAGGUCCCCCACACUGGUACUGAGACACGGACCAGACUCCUACGGGAGGCAGCAGUGAGGAAUAUUGGUCAAUGGCCGAGAGGCUGAACCAGCCAAGUCGCGUGAGGGAAGAAUGUCCUAUGGAUUGUAAACCUCUUUUGUCAGGGAGCAAAGUCACCCACGUGUGGGUGUUGGAGAGUACCUGAAGAAAAAGCAUCGGCUAACUCCGUGCCAGCAGCCGCGGUAAUACGGAGGAUGCGAGCGUUAUCCGGAUUUAUUGGGUUUAAAGGGUGCGUAGGCGGGUUAUCAAGUCAGCGGUAAAAUCGUGGAGCUCAACUCCAUCCAGCCGUUGAAACUGAUGAUCUUGAGUGGGCGAGAAGUAUGCGGAAUGCGUGGUGUAGCGGUGAAAUGCAUAGAUAUCACGCAGAACUCCGAUUGCGAAGGCAGCAUACCGGCGCCCGACUGACGCUGAAGCACGAAAGCGUGGGUAUCGAACAGGAUUAGAUACCCUGGUAGUCCACGCAGUAAACGAUGAAUACUAAUUGUGUGCUCCGAAUGAGGAGUGCGUGAUACAGCGAAAGCGUUAAGUAUUCCACCUGGGGAGUACGCCGGCAACGGUGAAACUCAAAGGAAUUGACGGGGGCCCGCACAAGCGGAGGAACAUGUGGUUUAAUUCGAUGAUACGCGAGGAACCUUACCCGGGCUCAAACGCAGGAGGGAUGUUUUUGAAAGGAGGCAGCUCUACGGAGUCUCCUGCGAGGUGCUGCAUGGUUGUCGUCAGCUCGUGCCGUGAGGUGUCGGCUUAAGUGCCAUAACGAGCGCAACCCCUACCGCCAGUUGCCAACGGGUAAAGCCGGGAACUCUGGCGGGACUGCCGGCGCAAGCUGUGAGGAAGGCGGGGAUGACGUCAAAUCAGCACGGCCCUUACGUCCGGGGCGACACACGUGUUACAAUGGCAGGUACAGCGGGAAGCCACUUGGCGACAAGGCGCGGAACCCGAAAACCUGUCUCAGUUCGGAUUGGAGUCUGCAACCCGACUCCAUGAAGCUGGAUUCGAUAGUAAUCGCGCAUCAGCCACGGCGCGGUGAAUAC
Molecule: ribosomal RNA, 1354 nt
Filed under: uncultured bacterium
Lineage: Bacteria
Description: partial 16S ribosomal RNA
Rfam family: Bacterial small subunit ribosomal RNA
Source: RNAcentral